UCCGCGGUCCUUAAAGUGAGAAAAAAAAGAAACCCAUCGGGAUCUCCUCUCUCUCCCUCGCCUCAGCCGCCAGGAGCGGCGGUCGAUCCGGUGCCGCGCCGGCCGCGGGCCGCCGGCCGGUGCCGGCGAGCGUCCGCGCCUUCGGAGUCUUCCUCUGCGCCUUUCUGCAUGGGGACGCGUUCGGAGGAGCUCGCUGCCAGGUUGGCGGCCGGGGGCCCCGGCGGCGUCGGCGGACCAGCAGGAGGAGGAUGCGGGGAGGGGCAGCACGAGCGGGUGGUCGCGCUCCGCGAGAUCAAGAACCAGACCUUCGGGAACCAGACCAAGAAGCUCCUCUACCUCCGCCUGGGUGCCGUGUUAGCGGUCGUCACGGCGCGUCACCAGCCAUGCUCGUCCAUGAGCGGCCGCGGCGGAGUACUUUGCUUGCGGCGUAGACGAUGGCGCGCAUGCCGUGCUUGCUGCUGGAGCCGUGGGGCACCUCCUCGCCCACCCCGACAACAAGAAGAGCUGGUGGGAGGAAAUGGGUGGCUACCCAGCAACUGCUUGCUGGUUGCGCCAAUUUGGGGGUUGCUAGCAAUUGUGCUUGUCCCUGAACUAUAGACCAAAAAGAGACAAUGCUAACUUAAUGAAUGUUUUGUGUGGGAAUUAGUCUGUACAUUAGCCACAACCGGAUCCAGAUUGAGGUUGGCGGUCGAUACCAACGCCGUCCUGGAUGGCGUGCUCGAGAUCGAAGGCGGGGAACUCCAGAAGGCAGACGGCGGCAUUGCCUCAGUUGUAGCUGCAUGGGGAAGAGGAGGGGUGGAGGAGUAGACGCUGCAUCUCCAUCCGCCGUGAUGGGAGUGAUGGCGCCGGCGCUCGCCGUGUCCGCCGUCAGCUCCAUCUUGACGAUGUUAUCCUUGAUUGGAAGUUCGAGCGCCCUCACAACAGGACUUACUCCACCCCUUCUCCCUCCCCGUUCCCUUCCCCUGGGGGUUAAUUGAAGUAUUUAUAUUUCCGUAUUAGUGUGGUUCAACUUGCUAUUGGGCACAUGGUGUGUUUUCUGAAUUUUGGUCUGAAAGAUGAUUUUGUGAGUUCAAGCUUUUGUGCGAUUCCUGAUGUUGUGUUCCUGCCAAAUGACAUAUGUCCUGCACUGAAUUUUUCUGACGCUAUAAUCAUGGCAGGAGCUUUGUACUGGGAAAGCAUGUCAGAAUUAUCUAGAAUUGAUGGACUUUAGUUGGUGUUUGUUUGCUGGAUGGAAUUAGAUUUGUGGAUAUAUCAGUUUAUGGGUGGCUACUUGAUUGGUGAAUUCACCUGCUAUAUGAACACUAUUUUUAAUAAAUGGUGUGCAUCUAAGAUGUAUAAGAACAAGUUUGAGGAUAAAGAUUCAUAUAAAGAAUUAUGUAAAAAAUUGUGAUUCUUAAUAUCUUGAGAACUAGCGUAUAUUUUUUCCACUACAUUAGCCUUCAGAUUUUUCUUGGAUUUGCUUUCUGCACUAAUGUUUUCAGUACCAUCCUUCUUCCGCGAUGCUGCUGCAUGCCAGGAUUCGCAGUGGCACCGCCGCAGCCAGCGAGGACACAAGCUCACGAGGAUUGUUGCCGCUUCGGAGGACAUGGGAGCUGCCAUAGCCAGCGAGUACGUGAGCGCACGUAGGCACCAUCGCUUUCGAGGAUGCGAGAGCCAUCUCAGCUUGAGAGAAUGCGCAUACCAUCUCCAGUGUGUGCAACAAGUGUUCCUCUAAACGUCUGAGCGUAAAGACUACUCAUGGGUGAUGCUUCUGUGACCAGACCUCUAUAAAAUCACAAGAUAGUUUCAGUGUUGUUGUUCUCAAUCAUGUUACCCUUAAGUGCAAGACAUCAAUUUGCUCUUAAGUAAAAGGGAAAUUUGAGCAGGAAAGGUAAGCAAUUCGAAGCAAGCUCCCGAGAUAAAUUUUCUUUUGGUUUAGCUAACGAAUGCCUUGGUAUAGGUCUAAUCUCUCCUUCCUAGAGAUGGUUCUUUCUUAUUUCUUUUACGGGGACUUACUUUUGUUUCUUUAAUUAGGAUACCUUCACCUGGUAUUUUUUGUUUUAAUUAAUGAAUAUAGAUCAGUUGCAUUGUUUUGUCUCAACCAAGCUAGCUGUAUAGUAGAAAUUCAGCAUGCACACAAGGUGAUCUGGUUGAGUUUUACUAGGUAACCGUACCAUUGUUGUCUGCAUGCUGAAAAGCUUAUGGGUAUGUACUGAAACUAAAUUAUACUCCCUCCGUCCGGAAAUACUUGUCAUUGAAAUAGAUGUAUCUAGAUGUAUUUUAGUUCUAGAUACAUCUAUUUUCAUCCAUUCUGAUGACAAGUAUUUCCGGACGGAGGGAGUAGUUGUUAAGGAUUAUUUGCAGACAGGUCAAGACCGGAAGAUGUCAUCAUUAUCCCUAAACUGAGAUGUCUUCAGGAUUGGAAAUGUCACGAAGGCCCCCGUACAAUUAUAGGUACCAACAUAUAAAAAUCCAAGAAUUUCCCGCUAAGAGACACUCGACAUGCAAACUUAAAUCAUGCUAGAAUUCGUCAAAUACCAUGUUUAACCUGAAUUAGUUACUUGACAUGUGCCUAUCUUCUUCUUUUUCCAAAUUAUGUGUUCAAUUGUUCAUCAUAUUAUUGAUGGAAUUAAUUUUGCAUCGAUUGUUUGCACCACUUGAUAAUUACAACGAAAGUUAUGGAUGUCCAAUCUGGCUGGUUGUUUGUCUACUACUAAAGCUUGUACAUAUUUGCUUAAAUUUGAAUACAUGUCAAAAAAUCUCCCGUUGCCACACACACAUCCGUGGCAAUUGUUGAAAGCUCUGAAUACUUCACUCUUUGUUCUGAUGCUUAGGGAUAUUGGGUAGAAUCCAGUGUCACUCAUGAUCCUGGUUUAAUAGAGGAACUGAAUUGAUCAUGAUUUUGAAUGUCAAAUGUCACACAGGGAAGGGCCUGAACAUGAACUUACUUGGUAAUGCCCAUUUGUGUAGAUCGGUAGCCUGUGGCAUCUAUUUUGUCCAAUCAUCCGCCACGAACAAAUUUUCUUUGUUGGGUGCUGGUGGUUCUACUUCCAAUGUUUUUGUAGGACAUUGCUCGGUUAGUAAUGACUUUGAAUGUAAAGCGUGCUAUGAAGUACAUGAUGCGCUGUGUAGUUCCCUCAAUUACGUGAAGAAGAAGAAUGGCAGCAAAGACUUAUGGAUGGAAGAUACACUCAUCGUCACACAUAUGUUUUCACUCAUCGUCAAGCAUUGCACUCCCAAUGUCCAUAUAUUGUUCAAUUACCACUGAUGUCGACCUAGGUUAUAAACCAAAAUAAGACAAUCCUUAGCAUGGUUUUCCAAGCUAUGUCGCUCUUUGAGACAUGCUUGAUAAUUACAAAAACAUUGGAAGUUGAAAAAUGUUUAUCCUUAAAGACUUUAUUUUAUAAGUUUAUUUGUCACAAUCAAA
Molecule: RNA transcript, 3406 nt
Organism: Triticum aestivum (bread wheat)
Lineage: Eukaryota; Viridiplantae; Streptophyta; Magnoliopsida; Poales; Poaceae
Exons: 5
Source: RefSeq, a predicted model, not a curated record